RNAcentral lists this ribosomal RNA (253 nucleotides) under uncultured bacterium. RNAcentral's name for it is "partial 16S ribosomal RNA". It matches the Rfam family "Bacterial small subunit ribosomal RNA", at positions 524 to 776 of the family's 1533-position model. The record is from RNAcentral.
UACAGAGGGUGCAAGCGUUAAUCGGAAUUACUGGGCGUAAAGCGAGCGUAGUCGGUUAUUUAAGUCGGAUGUGAAAUCCCCGGGCUCAACCUGGGAAUUGCAUUCGAUACUGGAUAGCUAGAGUUCGGCAGAGGGAAGCGGAAUUUCGGGUGUAGCGGUGAAAUGCGUAGAUAUUCGCAAGAACACCAGUGGCGAAGGCGGCUCACUGGCCCGGAACUGACGCUGAGGUGCGAAAGCGUGGGGAGCAAACAGG